ACUUAGUUCAAGAUAAAGAACA
This 22-nucleotide ribosomal RNA is filed under the name Atelopus exiguus. RNAcentral's name for it is "partial 16S ribosomal RNA". The record is from RNAcentral. Lineage: Eukaryota; Metazoa; Chordata; Amphibia; Anura; Bufonidae.